AUUUUCUGAAAGGAAUGAAGUGGCUUACAGUCAGCAACCCCCUCCACAGAUAUAACCAUUUCCUGUAUAAAAAGGAGGACAGAGCAGAGAGGAGAGGCAGGCUGGAUGAUGUGACUCCUCAUUUUAGAAGCUGCACAUCUGGAUGCUUACAUGACUGAAUCAUUCCACUAUUUCUCUGUUAGGUGGCAGAAGUUUAUUUCUGUCAGGGAUUUGUGUCAUGAAACAAAUACUGUGGCUUGCUUAUCAUGUCCGGGGAGAGCUUUCCAGGCAGGCUACUGUGAGAAGCCCCUGCCAUGAUCCUGAAAUAUCUUACCAAGGACAGAGCGAUGGAGGAGGUUUGCCUUCCUUACAGUCCAAGGCAGUUGGUGUUAGGGAUCACAGAACAGCAACCAGAUGGAUGGAGGCAGUGUGCCUUCCUGUGUUUGCCAGGAAACUUUGCUCUGUCUUGGGCAAUCCAGGUGUUUGACAACUCCAGAUAAGAGAUUAUGAAAAUACUAAGGGACUUGUACUAACAGAUUUUUGCAAUACAUCAGCAUGGAAGCACCAAAUAACUGUGUUAGUGGAAUUCAGAUGCAAGUUCUGCAGGAAGAAAAAAAGAAUCUGCUGAGUAACAGUCUGUCAGAUAUGUUAACUGAGAGUGACAACACGAUGUGAUCUGCAAAAAGAGACAAUAAAGACAUUCUACUUACAAAGCA
RNAcentral lists this long non-coding RNA (695 nucleotides) under Apteryx owenii (little spotted kiwi). RNAcentral describes it as "lncRNA (ENSAOWG00000007299.1)". Lineage: Eukaryota; Metazoa; Chordata; Aves; Apterygiformes; Apterygidae. The record is from RNAcentral.